UCGAAUCUAACAUGAAGAGGUAGAGAGACUGUGCUGGCCAUUAGCUGCAUGUGCACGUCCCCUCGCCUUUUUCUGUCUAUAUACACCUGUGCACCUAUUGUAGAUCCCCUCGAAAGAGUGGGAACUAUGUAUGUUUUCAUCACAUCACACACAAAGAAUGUCUAGAAUGUAAAUGUGAUCGUGAAUUCAUUCCGUGAUCGGAAAUGAGAUGCGACACAAGUCACAAAUAUAUA
RNAcentral lists this unclassified non-coding RNA (233 nucleotides) under uncultured Boletaceae. RNAcentral's name for it is "sequence contains ITS1". The record is from RNAcentral. Lineage: Eukaryota; Fungi; Basidiomycota; Agaricomycetes; Boletales; Boletaceae.